AAGGCCUUAACUUAAUUAAAGUGUUUGAGUUGCAUUCAAGUGAUGUGGGAUAAAAUCUUACAGGUCUUA
This 69-nucleotide transfer RNA is filed under the name Gegeneophis ramaswamii (Tenmalai caecilian). Its description in RNAcentral is "tRNA-Ala". It matches the Rfam family "tRNA". Rfam says of the family: Transfer RNA (tRNA) molecules are approximately 80 nucleotides in length. Their secondary structure includes four short double-helical elements and three loops (D, anti-codon, and T loops). Lineage: Eukaryota; Metazoa; Chordata; Amphibia; Gymnophiona; Indotyphlidae. The record is from RNAcentral.